UAACCUGGUUGAUCUUGCCAGUAGUCAUAUGCUUGUCUUAAAGAUUAAGCCAUGCAAGUGAAAGUACACAUGUAUAAUAAUAUAUCGAAACUGCGAACGGCUCAUUAAAACAGUUAUAAUCUACUUGACAUUUAUAUUAUAAGGAUAACUACGGAAAAGCUGUAGCUAAUACUUGUAAAAAUAUCUUAUGAUAUGUAUAUAUAUAUAUGUAUGUAUCAUUAAGAUAUGUAUUUGUUAGAUAUAAGAAGUAAAUAAAUAUAAAUUGAAUUAUAACAAAGAAAGAACACGUAUACGUACGUGAUUAUCAAUCGAGUAUCUGACCUAUCAGCUUUUGAUGUUAGGGUAUUGACCUAACAUGGCUAUGACGGGUAACGGGGAAUUAGAGUUCGAUUCCGGAGAGGGAGCCUGAGAAAUAGCUACCACAUCUAAGGAAGGCAGCAGGCGCGUAAAUUACCCAAUUCUGAAGAAGAGAGGUAGUGACAAGAAAUAACAAUACAUUAUCGAAGAAUGAUUUUGUAAUUGGAAUGAUAGGGAAUUAUAACAUUUCUAGAGAAACAAUUGGAGGGCAAGUCUGGUGCCAGCAGCCGCGGUAAUUCCAGCUCCAAUAGCAUAUAUUAAAAUUGUUGCAGUUAAAACGUUCGUAGUUGAAUAUUAAAGAAUCCGAUGUUUCAUUUAAACUGGUUUUGGGAAACUACAUAUAUAUAUAUAUAUUUAUAUAUAUUGUUUAAUAAGUUUCCCGUAUAAAAUUAUGUUUUUAUCAGAUAUGACAGAGUCUUUUUUAAAAUCUGUUCAUUUUGCUUUUAUUGCUUUUUGAGAGAUUUUGUUACUUUGAGUAAAAUUAAGUGUUCAUAACAGACGGCUAUACUUUGAUUGAGGUGUUCAGGGUGUUUGAAUACUACAGCAUGGAAUAACAAAUAUGAAUAAGCUAAUUUAAUUUUUUAUUAUUUUUUUUGAUAUUCUUAUUAGCUUAGUUACGGUUAAUAGGAGUAGUUUUGGGGGCAUUCGUAUUCAGAUGUCAGAGGUGAAAUUCUAAGAUUUUCUGGAGACGGACUACUGCGAAAGCAUUUGCCUAAUCUAUUUCCAUUAAUCAAGAACGAAAGUUAAGGGAGUGAAGACGAUCAGAUACCGUCGUAAUCUUAACCAUAAACUAUACCGACUAGGUGUUGGAUGAAUAUAAAAAAUAUAUAUAAAAUUUUGAUAUUUCUUAGGGAUUAUUGAUUUUAUAUAUUAGAUUGCUUCCUUCAGUACCUUAUGAGAAAUCAAAGUCUUUGGGUUCUGGGGCGAGUAUUCGCGCAAGCGAGAAAGUUAAAAGAAUUGACGGAAGGGCACCACCAGGCGUGGAGCUUGCGGCUUAAUUUGACUCAACACGGGAAAACUCACUAGUUUAAGACAAGAGUAGGAUUGACAGAUUAAUAGCUCUUUCUUGAUUUCUUGGAUGGUGAUGCAUGGCCGUUUUUAGUUCGUGAAUAUGAUUUGUCUGGUUAAUUCCGAUAACGAACGAGAUCUUAACCUGCUAAUUAGCGGUAAGUACACCAUAUUCUUAUUUGAAAUUGUAUUUAGGUAAUUAUACAUUUAUUCAGUGUUCAAAUUAGGAUAUUUUUAUUAAAAUAUCCUUUUCCCUGUUCUACUAAUAAUUUGUUUUUUACUCUAUUUCUUUCUUCUUUUAAGAAUGUACUUGCUUGAUUGUAAAGCUUCUUAGAGGAACAUUGUGUGUCUAACACAAGGAAGUUUAAGGCAACAACAGGUCUGUGAUGUCCUUAGAUAAACUAGGCUGCACGCGUGCUACAAUGAUAUAUAUAACAAGUUGUUAAAAAUAUACAUAUAUAUAUUUGUAUCUUGUGAUAUUUAGUAAAUAAUUUUGUAUAUUUUUUCCUUUACUGAAAAGUAUAGGUAAUCCAAUCAAUUUAUAUCGUAACUGGGAUAGAUUAUUGCAAUUAUUAAUCUUGAACGAGGAAUGCCUAGUAAGCAUGAUUCAUUAGAUUGUGCUGACUACGUCCCUGCCCUUUGUACACACCGCCCGUCGCUCCUACCGAUUGAAAGAUAUGAUGAAUUGUUUGGAUAUGAAUUAAAACAUGGAAUUUUAUAUUUCUGAUUUUUUCUAGAAGAACUGUAAAUCCUGUCUUUUAAAGGAAGGAGAAGUCGUAACAAGGUUUCCGUAGGUGAACCUGCGGAAGGAUCAUUA
Molecule: ribosomal RNA, 2182 nt
Filed under: Plasmodium gaboni
Lineage: Eukaryota; Apicomplexa; Aconoidasida; Haemosporida; Plasmodiidae
Description: SSU rRNA
Rfam family: Eukaryotic small subunit ribosomal RNA
Source: RNAcentral